ACAAACGAAGAAAAUCAACGUUUUCAUACCCAACUAAAUCCAAAACACAUCUCUCAAAGUCAUCAGUUUUCUUUUCCACCGGAGGAUUCAUUGGUUAUGUAUAAAAUACAUCUUUUCUCGAUUUGUAUACAUUGUUUCUUUGACGACAUACCUGUUCGGAUCUUAGUGGCCUGCUUCUAUAAAUCCCUCGCACAAGAAGCACCAUCGCACUCCUCACAAAUUAAAGGCGCACCCACUUCGAUAGCUCAUGGCCCUCCUCCUUGCAACCUUCCGGCUUUAUAUUUCCUUGUUCAUUUACCUCGCUGUCGCCGUCUUCCGUUUUAAUGUCGCCUUUAGUUUUUUUGUUUUUUCUUGAUCCCCCUUUGGUGCUUGGUGUGCAGCCUUGCAGUGAGGGUUGGUCGCAAAGUUUUUUCUUAUAGUUCUACAAAUUAACAAAGAUCCGGAUCGGGCACAGACAAACCCUAAUAAUGAAACUCCAAAGGAAUGAGUGAUUAAUCGUUUCUACUGUACAUGUUUUUUUUUGUUUUCCUUCUUUCUUUAUUGCUAUUUUCAAACGCAGGGAAAGGAGAUCCAGGAGCUGAAGCAACCCUAGAAGCGAAAGAAGAGAGGGACACGGAUUUGACACAAGGAAGGCUUUGUUUCUCAUCAGGAGCCUUGACGGGGACGUGUGGAGUAGGGUAUGUGUCAGCGCCAGGUUUGGCAAGCCGGCCAUCUUUUCUCUGCAGGAGGAGCAGCAGAAUGUGAGCUGGAAACAAUGAGUGCAUGUGGGAGUGUGAUUAUAUUGAGGGGACGCGGAGUGGGGUAAGCCGGUCUCUGUCGGUCGUCCCAACCGAUGCAGGCGGCCGUCCGGCCAGACCCGGGGUUUCCGGGCGGCGGGUCGCCGGUAAUGGGGUGUCGAAACGGCUUCUGAGCUCAUCGAUGACGCGACGGGCGUGGCAGAUGUGCUGAUGCUCGUCGGCGUGUGCGGGUUUGGCAAGGAUUCAAGGCAGCGAGGCCUCGCCGUGUGCUUCACGUCGCCGUGCGUAGUGGUUCUUCACUCCCUAUUUUUUUUUCUUCUUUUAUUUCAUGAAUUUUAAUUGUUUUUUAGGGGGCAUUGUGAUACUAAUUGUGGUUUGCUGUUUUUUUUAGAAUAUUACUUCUUUCGUAUAAAAAAAUAUAUAUAUGCUAAGUGAUCUGCAAA
Molecule: long non-coding RNA, 1180 nt
Organism: Zingiber officinale
Lineage: Eukaryota; Viridiplantae; Streptophyta; Magnoliopsida; Zingiberales; Zingiberaceae
Exons: 2
Source: RefSeq, a predicted model, not a curated record